RNAcentral lists this transfer RNA (42 nucleotides) under Dionaea muscipula. RNAcentral describes it as "partial tRNA-Trp". The record is from RNAcentral. Lineage: Eukaryota; Viridiplantae; Streptophyta; Magnoliopsida; Caryophyllales; Droseraceae.
AGCGCUCUUAGUCAGUUCGGCAGAACGCAGGUCUCCAAAACC